AGUUUGAUCCUGGCUCAGGACGAACGCUGGCGGCGUGCUUAACACAUGCAAGUCGAACGCUGAAGCACCAGCUUGCUGGUGUGGAUGAGUGGCGAACGGGUGAGUAAUACGUGAGUAACCUGCCCUUGACUCUGGGAUAAGCCCGGGAAACUGGGUCUAAUACUGGAUGCUACAUGUCACCGCAUGGUGGUGUGUGGAAAGGGUUUACUGGUCUUGGAUGGGCUCACGGCCUAUCAGCUUGUUGGUGAGGUAAUGGCUCACCAAGGCGACGACGGGUAGCCGGCCUGAGAGGGUGACCGGCCACACUGGGACUGAGACACGGCCCAGACUCCUACGGGAGGCAGCAGUGGGGAAUAUUGCACAAUGGGCGAAAGCCUGAUGCAGCGACGCCGCGUGAGGGAUGACGGCCUUCGGGUUGUAAACCUCUUUCAGCAGGGAAGAAGCCACAAGUGACGGUACCUGCAGAAGAAGCGCCGGCUAACUACGUG
Molecule: ribosomal RNA, 488 nt
Filed under: uncultured Kocuria sp.
Lineage: Bacteria; Bacillati; Actinomycetota; Actinomycetes; Micrococcales; Micrococcaceae
Description: bacterial SSU rRNA
Rfam family: Bacterial small subunit ribosomal RNA
Source: RNAcentral